RNAcentral lists this ribosomal RNA (496 nucleotides) under uncultured bacterium. RNAcentral's name for it is "partial 16S ribosomal RNA". It matches the Rfam family "Bacterial small subunit ribosomal RNA", at positions 28 to 506 of the family's 1533-position model. The record is from RNAcentral.
GAUGAACGCUGGCGGCGUGCCUAAUACAUGCAAGUCGAGCGAACGGACGAGAAGCUUGCUUCUCUGGUGUUAGCGGCGGACGGGUGAGUAACACGUGGAUAACCUACCUAUAAGACUGGGAUAACUUCGGGAAACCGGAGCUAAUACCGGAUAAUAUUUUGAACCGCAUGGUUCAAAAGUGAAAGACGGUCUUGCUGUCACUUAUAGAUGGAUCCGCGCUGCAUUAGCUAGUUGGUAAGGUAACGGCUUACCAAGGCAACGAUGCAUAGCCGACCUGAGAGGGUGAUCGGCCACACUGGAACUGAGACACGGUCCAGACUCCUACGGGAGGCAGCAGUAGGGAAUCUUCCGCAAUGGGCGAAAGCCUGACGGAGCAACGCCGCGUGAGUGAUGAAGGUCUUCGGAUCGUAAAACGCUGUUAUUAGGGAAGAACAUAUGUGUAAGUAACUGUGCACAUCUUGACGGUACCGAAUCAGAAAGCCACGGCUAACUACGU